UCAUCAAUAUCUCUCAAUCUCUCUCAAUCUUUCUACUACAAUUGCUUAAUUCGGCAAUCUGGUAAACUCGUUUCAACUCUUACAUUUUAAAAAUAUAUUUUUGUGUGGUUGGGUUUGCAUAAUUAUAAUUAAUAUGGCAUUUUCUUUGAAAAAAAUAUUUGGUAAAGAAAAAGGUAAAACCGGUUAAAGUGGUGGCCAUAAUACUACCCUUUCCCCGGCUCGACCUACAAAAGAUAAGCAAGUUGAAAGUAGUCGCCAACCUAGACGUCCUUCUCCUCCUCCCGUAAUUCUUGAUAGUGAUC
Molecule: long non-coding RNA, 302 nt
Filed under: Nicotiana benthamiana
Lineage: Eukaryota; Viridiplantae; Streptophyta; Magnoliopsida; Solanales; Solanaceae
Description: long non-coding RNA (NBEN_LNC004815)
Source: RNAcentral